AGAACGAACGCUGGCGGCAGGCUUAACACAUGCAAGUCGAACGCUCCGCAAGGGGAGUGGCAGACGGGUGAGUAACGCGUGGGAACAUACCCCUCGGUUCGGAAUAACUCAGGGAAACUUGAGCUAAUACCGGAUACGGUCGAGAGGCGAAAGAUUUAUCGCCGAGGGAUUGGCCCGCGUCCGAUUAGCUAGUUGGUGAGGUAAUGGCUCACCAAGGCGACGAUCGGUAGCUGGUCUGAGAGGAUGAUCAGCCACAUUGGGACUGAGACACGGCCCAAACUCCUACGGGAGGCAGCAGUGGGGAAUAUUGGACAAUGGCGAAAGCCUGAUCCAGCCAUGCCGCGUGAGUGAUGACGGCCUUAGGGUUGUAAAGCUCUUUCGCUAGGGACGAUAAUGACGGUACCUAGACAAGAGCCCCGGCUAACUUCGUGCCAGCAGCCGC
RNAcentral lists this ribosomal RNA (442 nucleotides) under uncultured bacterium. Its description in RNAcentral is "SSU rRNA". It matches the Rfam family "Bacterial small subunit ribosomal RNA", at positions 26 to 518 of the family's 1533-position model. The record is from RNAcentral.